ACUCGGCUCAGGAUGAACGCUGGCGGCGUGCUUAACACAUGCAAGUCGAACGAAGCAUACCUGACUGAUUGAAGAGCUUGCUCGGAUUGACGAUUGGUAUGACUUAGUGGCGGACGGGUGAGUAACGCGUGGGUAAUCUGCCCGGUACAGGGGGGAUAACAGCCGGAAACGGCUGCUAAUACCGCAUAAGCCGGCAGCACCGCAUGGUGCAGCCGGAAAAGCUGAGACGGUACCGGAUGAGCCCGCGUCUGAUUAGCUAGUUGGAGGGGUAACGGCCCACCAAGGCGACGAUCAGUAGCCGGCUUGAGAGAGUGACCGGCCACAUUGGGACUGAGACACGGCCCAAACUCCUACGGGAGGCAGCAGUGGGGAAUAUUGCACAAUGGGGGAAACCCUGAUGCCAGCAACGCCGCGUGAGUGAAGAAGUAUUUCGGUAUGUAAAGCUCUAUCAGCAGGGAAGAUAAUGACGGUACCUGAAUAAGAAGCCCCGGCUAACUACGUGCCAGCCGCCGC
This 513-nucleotide ribosomal RNA is filed under the name uncultured bacterium. RNAcentral describes it as "bacterial SSU rRNA". It matches the Rfam family "Bacterial small subunit ribosomal RNA", at positions 17 to 518 of the family's 1533-position model. The record is from RNAcentral.